RNAcentral lists this long non-coding RNA (384 nucleotides) under Panax ginseng (ginseng). RNAcentral describes it as "long non-coding RNA (PGIN_LNC014313)". Lineage: Eukaryota; Viridiplantae; Streptophyta; Magnoliopsida; Apiales; Araliaceae. The record is from RNAcentral.
AUGAGGAAAGCCAGUGGACUUGUACUCCCAUUAAUAAAGAAAAAACCAAAGGCAAAUAGUUCAUGCGGAGUUAGCCCUUGACUCUCCUAACGUCGAGCUAAGUUACUUCGUAACCUUUUCGUAGCGUAGUAGAAUGAAGGCUACGCACCGACGCUCUCUUUUCUAUUAGCCUAAGCGUCUUCGCUAACUCGCUCGCCUACUAUACAAUACAUUAAGUAGGGUAGCCUAACUCAUACAACGCAAAGGAGGGAGGCGGGCUAAAUACAGCCCACCUAACAGCAGCUAGAAAGGCUAUAGGCGCGAAAGAAAAGCGAGCAGGAAAUUCGGCAUCAUAUGGAACCGCGGAGCCAGCCUCAAGGAAGAGCUUUGAUCCUUGCCUUGAAC